RNAcentral lists this ribosomal RNA (501 nucleotides) under uncultured bacterium. RNAcentral describes it as "partial 16S ribosomal RNA". It matches the Rfam family "Bacterial small subunit ribosomal RNA", at positions 30 to 523 of the family's 1533-position model. The record is from RNAcentral.
AUUGAACGCUGGCGGCAGGCUUAACACAUGCAAGUCGAGCGGGGGAAGGUAGCUUGCUACCGGACCUAGCGGCGGACGGGUGAGUAAUGCUUAGGAAUCUGCCUAUUAGUGGGGGACAACAUCUCGAAAGGGAUGCUAAUACCGCAUACGUCCUACGGGAGAAAGCAGGGGAUCUUCGGACCUUGCGCUAAUAGAUGAGCCUAAGUCGGAUUAGCUAGUUGGUGGGGUAAAGGCCUACCAAGGCGACGAUCUGUAGCGGGUCUGAGAGGAUGAUACGCGCCACUGGGACUGAGACACGGCCCAGACUCCUACGGGAGGCAGCAGUGGGGAAUAUUGGACAAUGGGGGGAACCCUGAUCCAGCCAUGCCGCGUGUGUGAAGAAGGCCUUAUGGUUGUAAAGCACUUUAAGCGAGGAGGAGGCUACUCUAGUUAAUACCUAGGGAUAGUGGACGUUACUCGCAGAAUAAGCACCGGCUAACUCUGUGCCAGCCGCCGCCGUAA